AGUCAGACAGUGUGAGAUAAGUUUCAUUGUCGAAAGGGAAACAGCCCAGAUCUACGACUAAGGUCCCAAAGUUCAAGUUAAGUGGAAAAGGAUGUGCAAUUGCGUAGACAACCAGGAUGUUGGCUUAGUAGCAGCCACACAUUCAAAGAGUGCGUAAUAGCUCACUGGUCGAGUGAUUGUGCGCCGAAAAUGUAACGGGGCUAAACUUGACACCGAAGUCUAGGCAGAAGGAAACUUCUGGGUAGGGGAGCAACGUGUACGGGUAGAAGCAGAAGCGGAAGCGACUGUGGACUGUACAGGAGAGAGAAUGCCGGCAUGAGUAGCGAGAGCAAAGUGAGAAUCUUUGCCGUCGAAAGCCUAAGGUUUCCUGAGGAAGGCUCGUCCUCUCAGGGUAAGUCGGGACCUAAGCCGAGGACAAUAGUCGUAGGCGAUGGACAAUCGGUUAAUAUUCCGAUACCGCCGAGCAACCGGAUGCAGUGACACAGAAGGAUAGGCAGAGCGUGGCGAUGGUAGACCACGUCCAAGCAGUGAGGCUGUUGUGUAGUGAAGUACGCACAACGUAAGGCUGGGCUGUGAUGGGGAACGAUUACGAUCGGUAAGCUGCUGAAUUCACGCUGGCGAGAAAAGCUGCUACGAAGCGAAGGCGCCCGUACCGCAAACCGACACAGGUAGGCGAGGAGAGAAUCCUAAGACGAGCGGGAGAACCCUUGUUAAGGAACUCGGCAAAAUGACUCCGUAACUUAGGGAGAAGGAGUGCCCAGGAAUGGGCCGCAGAGAAUAGACCCAAGCGACUGUUUACCAAAAACACAGGUCUGUGCGAAGUAGAGAUACGACGUAUACGGGCUGACACCUGCCCAGUGCCGGAAGGUUAAGGGGAAAUGUUAGGGCAACCGAAGCAUGGAACUUAAGCCCCGGUGAACGGCGGCCGUAACUAUAACGGUCCUAAGGUAGCGAAAUUCCUUGUCGGGUAAGUUCCGACCCGCACGAAUGGUGUAACGAUUUGGGUACUGUCUCAACAAGGGACCCGGCGAAAUUGUAGUAUGUGUGAAGAUGCACAUUACCCGCGAUAGGACGGAAAGACCCCGUAGAGCUUUACUGUAGUUUAACAUUGGAUUCCGGUAACAUAUGCACAGGAUAGGUGGGAGGCGGAGAAGCAGUGAUUUCGGUUGCUGCAGAGCCGACGUUGGGAUACCACUCUUGUGUUACUGGGGUUCUAACCUGUGGCCGUGAUCCGGCACAGGAACAGUGUUAGAUGGGCAGUUUGACUGGGGCGGUCGCCUCCAAAAGAGUAACGGAGGCGUCCAAAGGUUCCCUCAGAAUGGUUGGAAACCAUUCGAAGAGUACAAAGGCAGAAGGGAGCCUGACUGCGAGACCGACAGGUCGAGCAGGGACGAAAGUCGGGCUUAGUGAUCCGGC
RNAcentral lists this ribosomal RNA (1416 nucleotides) under human gut metagenome. RNAcentral's name for it is "bacterial LSU rRNA". It matches the Rfam family "Bacterial large subunit ribosomal RNA", at positions 982 to 2424 of the family's 2925-position model. The record is from RNAcentral.